Molecule: non-coding RNA, 112 nt
Organism: Caerostris darwini
Lineage: Eukaryota; Metazoa; Arthropoda; Arachnida; Araneae; Araneidae
Source: the annotation of a GenBank genome assembly
AACGGCCAUACCAUGCUGAAUAUACCGGUUCUCGUUAGAUCACCGAAGUCAAGCAUCAUUGGGCGCGGUCAGUACUUGGGUGGGUGACCACCUGGGAACGGCGCGUGCCGUU